UACGAAGGGGGCUAGCGUUGCUCGGAAUCACUGGGCGUAGAGCGCACGUAGGCGGAUUGUUAAGUCAGGGGUGAAAUCCUGGAGCUCAACUCCAGAACUGCCCUUGAUACUGGCGAUCUCGAGUCCGGGAGAGGUGAGUGGAACUGCGAGUGUAGAGGUGAAAUUCGUAGAUAUUCGCAAGAACACCAGUGGCGAAGGCGGCUCACUGGCCCGGUACUGACGCUGAGGUGCGAAAGCGUGGGGAGCAAACAGG
RNAcentral lists this ribosomal RNA (253 nucleotides) under uncultured bacterium. RNAcentral describes it as "partial 16S ribosomal RNA". It matches the Rfam family "Bacterial small subunit ribosomal RNA", at positions 524 to 776 of the family's 1533-position model. The record is from RNAcentral.